This 429-nucleotide ribosomal RNA is filed under the name Chloroflexota bacterium. RNAcentral describes it as "Chloroflexi bacterium partial 16S ribosomal RNA". It matches the Rfam family "Bacterial small subunit ribosomal RNA", at positions 355 to 776 of the family's 1533-position model. Lineage: Bacteria; Bacillati; Chloroflexota. The record is from RNAcentral.
UGGGGAAUAUUGCACAAUGGGCGCAAGCCUGAUGCAGCCAUGCCGCGUGUGUGAAGAAGGCCUUCGGGUUGUAAAGUACUUUCAGUCGGGAGGAAGGUGGUAAGGUUAAUAACCUUAUCAAUUGACGUUACCGACAGAAGAAGCACCGGCUAACUCCGUGCCAGCAGCCGCGGUAAUACGGAGGGUGCAAGCGUUAAUCGGAAUUACUGGGCGUAAAGCGCACGCAGGCGGUCUGUCAAGUCGGAUGUGAAAUCCCCGGGCUCAACCUGGGAACUGCAUUCGAAACUGGCAGGCUAGAGUCUUGUAGAGGGUGGUAGAAUUCCAGGUGUAGCGGUGAAAUGCGUAGAGAUCUGGCGGAAUACCGGUGGCGAAGGCGGCCCCCUGGACAAAGACUGACGCUCAGGUGCGAAAGCGUGGGGAGCAAACAGG